This is a long non-coding RNA of Daucus carota subsp. sativus, 1127 nucleotides long. RefSeq lists it as uncharacterized. Lineage: Eukaryota; Viridiplantae; Streptophyta; Magnoliopsida; Apiales; Apiaceae. The transcript is spliced from 4 exons. The record is from RefSeq and is a predicted model, not a curated record.
GUGAGUGAAGUACCAUUCUCAGCUUUUUGAAAAUACUUUCGUUUCUUUACACAAAUGUGUCAAGAAAAAUAGAAACUAGAAUCAGUUUUUGCUUUUUGCAAACAAACGCCACCUGAGACUUGAGAUGAGAGAAUGAGUGGUGAAGAAGAAUAUGAGGUAAGGACUGGAGGGAGCUAUAGUAGUAGCCGGCUAGCCACUGUUGCUGCAAAUACAAACGACUAUGUAGCCGUUGGUACUGCAAAAGCACUGAGCGGAGGUCAUAGAUCCGUAAUUGGGAGGGCAGCUAGCCGUUGCGGUGCAAAGAACAGCAGGCGCGUGACCCGAGUUGAUUCGCGGGUCGAACAAUUCACAAAAAUUAGCGGCCCGGUUCUAGUUUUCAACUUGACGACUCAGAUUCAAUUCAUUAUUUUUAACGAUUUCGGCCGAAUCUAUUCAAACCUGCUCCUUCAUCGAAUUUCAAGGCGGUCCGGUUCAAAACCACUCAUUUGGCCAGCACUGGUUAUAAAUAUUGAGAAGAAGAUUACAAUAGAUCUGAUGGAAUGGCACAAUACAAAGGGUAAAGUAUAGAGAAGAUCAAUUUUAAGGAGAGAAUAGCAUGGUUGCAAGUUGUUCCACACGUACACCAUUUUGUAAAUAUAUACUUCGACAGUGAGAGGCAUGAUGGAUACUGGAGUUCACUGAAACAUUCAAAUACUUGGAAGGACUCGGAAAGAUAAAUACAAUACCAAGAGAAGCAGAAGGAGAAAUGAAAAGCAGAGAAUGAAUGAAGAAAUUAAAGAACUAACCUUCUGCAUAAAUUGUAUGGUUAAAAUAGAGGAAGAAGCAUGGCGAUUCGUGUCACCAUCUUUUACAGAGAGAAGAAUGGGAAUGGGAUGGAGAAUAUGAAGAAUGAGAAGUGAUGUAUUUAUACAUGAUCUGCAAAGAAAGAAAGCCAAGAAUGGGGAUUUGAUAAGAGGGGUUGGAGGAAAGUUGAGAUUGUUUUGACCUUUGCAAAUAAAUGAGAAAGAUAUGUCAUCAUUUGACUACCUCCUCUUCUUGUGUAAUCAAUUCUUACUCAUCCAGCACUGUUCCUCUCUCUAAUAUUAAUGUUUGGAAUCAAUUCAUCAUAAUCAUCUUGAUGUGUACCA